RNAcentral lists this ribosomal RNA (376 nucleotides) under uncultured organism. Its description in RNAcentral is "partial 16S ribosomal RNA". It matches the Rfam family "Bacterial small subunit ribosomal RNA", at positions 527 to 896 of the family's 1533-position model. The record is from RNAcentral.
GGAGGGGGCAAGCGUUAUUCGGAAUCAUUGGGGCGUAAAGGGGCAGGUAGGCGGCCUAGCAUGUCCAAUGUGAAAGCCCUCGGGCUCAACUGAGGAAUUGCAUUGGAAACUGCUGGGCUUGAGUCCCGGGAGAGGGAAGCGGAAUUCCCAGUGUAGCGGUGAAAUGCGUAGAUAUUGGGAGGAACACCAGUGGCGAAGGCGGCUUCCUGGACCGGUACUGACGCUCAGCUGCGAAAGCCAGGGGAGCAAACGGGAUUAGAUACCCCGGUAGUCCUGGCUGUAAACGAUGAGCACUUGGUGUGGCGGGUAUCGACCCCUGCUGUGCCGAAGCUAACGCAUUAAGUGCUCCGCCUGGGGAGUACGGUCGCAAAGGCUG